Podarcis lilfordi (Lilford's wall lizard) is the source of this 75-nucleotide non-coding RNA. The record is from the annotation of a GenBank genome assembly. Lineage: Eukaryota; Metazoa; Chordata; Lepidosauria; Squamata; Lacertidae.
GGGGCUUCUGCUCAGUGGUAGAGCAUUUGCUUUGCAUGCAGAAGGCCCCAGGUUCAACCCCUGAAGACAUCUCCA